This 784-nucleotide ribosomal RNA is filed under the name Saxomyces sp. Its description in RNAcentral is "SSU rRNA". It matches the Rfam family "Eukaryotic small subunit ribosomal RNA", at positions 29 to 837 of the family's 1831-position model. The record is from RNAcentral. Lineage: Eukaryota; Fungi; Ascomycota; Dothideomycetes.
AGCUGUCUCAAAGAUUAAGCCAUGCAUGUCUAAGUAUAAGGCAAUCUAUACGUGAAACUGCGAAUGGCUCAUUAAAUCAGUUAUCGUUUAUUUGAUAGUACCUUACUACAUGGAUAACCGUGGUAAUUCUAGAGCUAAUACAUGCUAAAAAUCCCGACUUCGGAAGGGGAGUAUUUAUUAGAUAAAAAACCAGCGCCCUUCGGGGCUCCUUGGUGAUUCAUGAUAACUCAACGAAUCGCAUGGCCUUGCGCCGGCGAUGGUUCAUUCAAAUUUUUGCCCUAUCAACUUUCGAUGGUAGGAUAGUGGCCUACCAUGGUAUCAACGGGUAACGGGGAAUUAGGGUUCUAUUCCGGAGAGGGAGCCUGAGAAACGGCUACCACAUCCAAGGAAGGGCAGGCGCGCAAAUUACCCAAUCCCGACACGGGGAGGUAGUGCCAAUAAAUACUGAUCCAGGGCUCUUUCGGGUCUUGUAAUUGGAAUGAGUCCAAUUUAAAUCCCUUAACGAGGACCAAUUGGAGGGCAAGUUUGGUGCCAGCAGCCGCGGUAAUUCCAGCUCCAAUAGCGUAUAUUAAAGUUGUUGCAGUUAAAAAGUUGGUAGUUGAACCUUGGGCCUGGCUGGCCGUUCCGCCUCACCGCGUGUACUGGUCCGGCCGGCCCUUUCCUUCUGGGGAGCCGCAUGCCCUUCACUGGGCGUGCCGGGGAACCAGGACUUUUACUUUGAAAAAAUUAGAGUGUUCAAAGCAGGCCUWUGCUCGAAUACAUUAGCAUGGAAUAAUAGAAUAGG